RNAcentral lists this ribosomal RNA (194 nucleotides) under uncultured bacterium. Its description in RNAcentral is "partial 16S ribosomal RNA". It matches the Rfam family "Bacterial small subunit ribosomal RNA", at positions 338 to 524 of the family's 1533-position model. The record is from RNAcentral. RNAcentral also lists the same sequence under 1 other name.
CCUACGGGAGGCAGCAGUGGGGAAUAUUGGACAAUGGGCGCAAGCCUGAUCCAGCCAUACCGCGUGGGUGAAGAAGGCCUUCGGGUUGUAAAGCCCUUUUGUUGGGAAAGAAAUCCAGCUGGCUAAUACCCGGUUGGGAUGACGGUACCCAAAGAAUAAGCACCGGCUAACUUCGUGCCAGCAGCCGCGGUAAU